This 468-nucleotide ribosomal RNA is filed under the name uncultured bacterium. RNAcentral's name for it is "partial 16S ribosomal RNA". It matches the Rfam family "Bacterial small subunit ribosomal RNA", at positions 28 to 507 of the family's 1533-position model. The record is from RNAcentral.
GACGAACGCUGGCGGCGUGCUUAACACAUGCAAGUCGAACGGAAAGGCCCUGCUUUUGUGGGGUGCUCGAGUGGCGAACGGGUGAGUAACACGUGAGUAACCUGCCCUUGACUUUGGGAUAACUUCAGGAAACUGGGGCUAAUACCGGAUAGGAGCUCCUGCUGCAUGGUGGUGGUUGGAAAGUUUCGGCGGUUGGGGAUGGACUCGCGGCUUAUCAGCUUGUUGGUGGGGUAGUGGCUUACCAAGGCUUUGACGGGUAGCCGGCCUGAGAGGGUGACCGGGCGCAUUGGGACGGAGAUACGGCCCAGACUCGUACGGGAGGCAGCAGUGGGGAAUAUUGCACAAUGGGCGGAAGCCUGAUGCAGCAACGCCGCGUGCGGGAUGACGGCCUUCGGGUUGUGAACCGCUUUCGCCUGGGACGAAGCGUGAGUGACGGUAAUGGGUAAAGAAGCACCGGCUAGCUACGUG